This 324-nucleotide ribosomal RNA is filed under the name uncultured eukaryote. Its description in RNAcentral is "partial 18S ribosomal RNA". It matches the Rfam family "Eukaryotic small subunit ribosomal RNA", at positions 1470 to 1796 of the family's 1831-position model. The record is from RNAcentral.
CCCUUAGAUAUCCUGGGCUGCACGCGCGCUACACUGAUGUGUCCAGUAAGCACCUAACCUAUUCCGAGAGGAGCGGGUAACCUUAGCAAAGCACAUCGUGAUGGGGAUAGAUUAUUGCAAUUAUUAGUCUUGAACGAGGAAUUCCUAGUAAGCACAAGUCAUCAGCUUGUGUUGAUUACGUCCCUGCCCUUUGUACACACCGCCCGUCGCUCCUACCGAUUGAAUGUUCCGGUGAGCUCUUCGGACUGCGCGGUCUGCAGUUUCUGCGUUCCGUGCGGAAAGUUGUGCAAACCUUAACAUUUAGAGGAAGGAGAAGUCGUAACA